GACGAGCCUCACAAACGUUAUUCGGAAUUACUGGGCUUAAAGGGUGCGUAGGCGGCGCGGAAAGUUGGGUGUGAAAUCCCUCGGCUCAACCGAGGAACUGCGCCCAAAACUACCGUGCUCGAGGAAGAUAGAGGUGAGCGGAACUUACGGUGGAGCGGUGAAAUGCGUUGAUAUCGUAAGGAACACCCGUGGCGAAGGCGAAUCCCUGGAAAAUACCUGACACUGAGGCACGAAAGCUAGGGGAGCAAACAGG
RNAcentral lists this ribosomal RNA (253 nucleotides) under uncultured bacterium. Its description in RNAcentral is "partial 16S ribosomal RNA". It matches the Rfam family "Bacterial small subunit ribosomal RNA", at positions 524 to 776 of the family's 1533-position model. The record is from RNAcentral.